This 800-nucleotide ribosomal RNA is filed under the name uncultured bacterium. RNAcentral's name for it is "bacterial SSU rRNA". It matches the Rfam family "Bacterial small subunit ribosomal RNA", at positions 8 to 814 of the family's 1533-position model. The record is from RNAcentral.
AGAGUUUGAUCAUGGCUCAGGAUAAACGCUGGCGGCGCACAUAAGACAUGCAAGUCGAACGGACUAGAUUUAUUCUUAACGAUUAAAUUGAAGUUAGUGGCGGACUGGUGAGUAACACGUAAGUGACCUACCUAUAAGAGGGGAAUAACAAUGAGAAAUCAUUGCUAAUACCGCAUAAGCUCACAGCAAUACAUGUUGCAGUGAGAAAAGGAGCAAUCCGCUUAUAGAUGGGCUUGCGGCUGAUUAGCUAGUUGGUGGGGUAACGGCUUACCAAGGCGACGAUCAGUAGCCGGACUGAGAGGUUGAACGGCCACAUUGGGACUGAGAUACGGCCCAGACUCCUACGGGAGGCAGCAGUCGGGAAUAUUGCGCAAUGGAGGGAACUCUGACGCAGUGACGCCGCGUAUAGGAAGAAGUUUUUCGGAAUGUAAACUAUUGUCAUUAGGGAAGAGAAAGGACGGUACCUAAGGAGGAAGCCCCGGCUAACUAUGUGCCAGCAGCCGCGGUAAUACAUAGGGGGCGAGCGUUAUCCGGAAUUAUUGGGUGUAAAGGGUGCGUAGACGGGGAAGUAAGUUAGUUGUGAAAUCCCUUGGCUUAACUGAGGAACUGCAACUAAAACUACAUUUCUUGAGUGCUGGAGAGGAAAGUGGAAUUCCUAGUGUAGCGGUGAAAUGCGUAGAUAUUAGGAGGAACACCGGUGGCGAAGGCGACUUUCUGGACAGUAACUGACGUUGAGGCACGAAAGUGUGGGGAGCAAACAGGAUUAGAUACCCUGGUAGUCCACACUGUAAACGAUGGAU